AUUUAUUUCAGAGAUAAAAAGUUGAAAUGAAUGUUUUAAUUCAAAACGAUAGAGACGUAUCCGUUUAAUGGAUAGCAAAGCUUGAUGAAUGUUCGUAUGCACCAUUUACCACAAUCGAUACUUUAGAACCUAAAACAAUGCUGAUCCAGGGUACGAAUCUACUUCCGUAUGGGUAUUUCAGCCUUUUUCUCAAUUUUACAUUAUGGGACAGCAGGAAAUGACUGUCUAUAGAGAAAUAUGUUGUAAUAAAUCGCUUCUUUAAAAACGGACCUUUCACUACUACGAUUUUUCAAGUAAAACAUUGGCC
This 307-nucleotide long non-coding RNA is filed under the name Mytilus galloprovincialis (Mediterranean mussel). Lineage: Eukaryota; Metazoa; Mollusca; Bivalvia; Mytilida; Mytilidae. The record is from RNAcentral.